RNAcentral lists this ribosomal RNA (253 nucleotides) under uncultured bacterium. Its description in RNAcentral is "partial 16S ribosomal RNA". It matches the Rfam family "Bacterial small subunit ribosomal RNA", at positions 524 to 776 of the family's 1533-position model. The record is from RNAcentral.
UACAGAGGUCUCAAGCGUUGUUCGGAUUCAUUGGGCGUAAAGGGUGCGUAGGUGGCGGGGUAAGUCAGGUGUGAAAUUUCGGAGCUUAACUCCGAAACUGCAUUUGAUACUGCCUUGCUUGAGGACUGGAGAGGAGACUGGAAUUCACGGUGUAGCAGUGAAAUGCGUAGAUAUCGUGAGGAAGACCAGUGGCGAAGGCGGGUCUCUGGACAGUUCCUGACGCUGAGGCACGAAAGCGUGGGGAGCAAACAGG